GAAUAAAAAGACAGUACUCCUCAGUUUAACUUCUGAAAAGGAGGUUAAAACUGCUGCCAUUAGUUUCUCUAGGCCUCAGGUUUCUUAACUAUAAAAUGGGGGUGGAGGGGAGCUAAUCUUCCAAUAUUUUUAAAAAUUCCUUCCAGCUAUUAAGAAUUCUCAGUGCUGGAUAGGUAAUUUUAUAACUGAAUAUGAAAAGGGAAAAAAAGUCUCUUCACACAUAGUGAUUGAGUCUUGACUAUUUUUAGUGAACUUGAUAAGAAAAUACUUUUCUUAAUCAAAUGAUGAAGACAGGACUAAGUUUUGAAUUAUUUUAGAACAGGAUUUUUAAAGAACAUAAUGUAAGUAAAAUACGAUUUUGCAACAAAAUAAAAUUAAGGUAGGAUGAAGCACAUUCUUCCUGGUUUCAGCUUGAUAGAGAAAUUUUUAUUUGCCUGAAUAUAAAGGCCUAAUAUUUUCCCCUACCAAGGAUGCUUUUCCAAUACCAGCAAUACAUAAGUACAUUCUAGUACAUGUCAAUAUCAUGUUUAUCAUUCACUGGAGUAGGUAACAUUUCACUUAUUUUGCAGAAGGGAAAAAUAUCCAUCAUAAUGUCUAGUAAUGCCCUUCAUUUCAAAUUAUGAUUAAUGUAGUAUGCAGACUUUUUCACUAAGAUUAACUUAGUUUGACUUGAAUUUAUAUUCAUCUAACUUUCAUUUAAAUUUCCCAGUAAUUUAAACCAUAUUUAUGCCCAUAUAUGUGCACUAUUAUACUACCUUGGUUAGGAGCACUGGCUUAAGAUAGUCUACUUGCUCUACCUUCUUUUCUGCACUGUUAAUUCAAUUAAUGAAAAUACUGCUUAAUUCCUGCUACCUUAUAUUUGGGUAAAGAAGAUAGGAAUGGAUUUUAAACUUGGAAUCUCUCAAAAUACCCGUGAUUUUUUUUUUUCCCAUACUGCUUUCAUCAUACCAUAGAAAUAUAGAUCAAAUCAUUUUCCAGGUUCUUUCAUUGAACCAGCUCAGCCAAGUCUCAAAAUCCACCCAUCAAGUUCAAGUUCCAGAAGCAGUUGGAAGUUUUUCCAAAACAUUGAUGUGGAAAAAUCAGAAAAAAUUGGAGGUCUAAAUUUCACUUGCCCAAUUCACAAGGAAGUUUUACGGGAUGUUUUUGUUACCAUCAUCCCUUCAUUUUUCCACUUAUUUUUCCCUGUUUAGAUGCGAAAUAUUAGGCUAUCAAUAGAGUCCUUUUAUAUCCAGUCUGUUUUUUAAAAAUGCUAUUUUGUCUUUUAUAAUUUUUCAUAGGACGCAGUACAGUGCUACAUAAGCAAUGUAAUAUUGGUGAUGAAUUGACUGCCAAUACCACACAUGACCUGGUAAGGCAGAACCUGAGGUGGCUUAUAGAAUCAGCCAAGCAGCCAGAAUGAUUUGUGUAGCUGCCCAUACAUAAUAAACUGGACCAGAUUCAAAAUGACCCUUUAAAAAGCAAACUGAGCCAUUUCCUACUGACAGUAUCUACUUUCUGUUGUUCCCUGGGGAUAUGAAUGUGAUUGUUUAAACUUGUUUUGCAAAUAACCUCCCUCCCCCACCCCCCUUUAGAUAGGUGGUAGUCUCACUUGAUUAAAUUGAGGACUUGCUUUAAAGAAAAGGCUGAGUUAUGGGAAAGAGUGGUUUCUAUUUUCUGUGUUUGUAAUUGCCAAAUUUUCUGUUUAUAUAUUGUUCUGAUGUAAUUAAUUAAAAAG
Sarcophilus harrisii (Tasmanian devil) is the source of this 1714-nucleotide long non-coding RNA. The record is from Ensembl. Lineage: Eukaryota; Metazoa; Chordata; Mammalia; Dasyuromorphia; Dasyuridae.